This 123-nucleotide microRNA precursor is filed under the name Hordeum vulgare. RNAcentral's name for it is "microRNA MIR1122". It matches the Rfam family "MIR1120/MIR1122 microRNA precursor family". The record is from RNAcentral. Lineage: Eukaryota; Viridiplantae; Streptophyta; Magnoliopsida; Poales; Poaceae.
AAGAUACUCCUUUCAUUCGAAAAUACUUGUCAUGUAAAUGAAUGUAUCUAGAUGUAUUUUCAUUAGCUACAUUCAUUUUUAUCAAUUUAUUCGACAAAUAAUUUCGGAUGGAAGGAGUAACAC